This 284-nucleotide long non-coding RNA is filed under the name Sorghum bicolor (sorghum). RNAcentral describes it as "long non-coding RNA (SBIC_LNC012729)". The record is from RNAcentral. Lineage: Eukaryota; Viridiplantae; Streptophyta; Magnoliopsida; Poales; Poaceae.
CCUGCGGGGUUCUUUCCCCUUUCUUCUCUUUUUUUCUAUUUUAUUUUUCAAAGCCCUUUUCAAAUAGAAUUUUGAACACAAUUAACUUCAAUCCAAAAUCUCACAGCACAAAUAAAAAUAUGCCCCAGCAUGAAUGCAAAUUCAUGUUUCUAAACUUAUGAUGAAUUUUAAUUUGCACAAAAUUAUUUAUUUGCUAGAUUCAAAUACUCACAAAAAUACUUAAAUAAAUCAAUUUAAUUCCUAUAACUUGAAAACCAGAUUUUGGCUGUUACAAACUCUACCCC